RNAcentral lists this ribosomal RNA (253 nucleotides) under Lachnospira eligens. Its description in RNAcentral is "partial 16S ribosomal RNA". It matches the Rfam family "Bacterial small subunit ribosomal RNA", at positions 524 to 776 of the family's 1533-position model. Lineage: Bacteria; Bacillati; Bacillota; Clostridia; Lachnospirales; Lachnospiraceae. The record is from RNAcentral.
UACGUAUGGAGCAAGCGUUAUCCGGAUUUACUGGGUGUAAAGGGAGUGUAGGUGGCCAUGCAAGUCAGAAGUGAAAAUCCGGGGCUCAACCUCGGAACUGCUUUUGAAACUGUAAGGCUGGAGUGCAGGAGGGGUGAGUGGAAUUCCUAGUGUAGCGGUGAAAUGCGUAGAUAUUAGGAGGAACACCAGUGGCGAAGGCGGCUCACUGGACUGUAACUGACACUGAGGCUCGAAAGCGUGGGGAGCAAACAGG